GCGUAUGUUAUUUCUUCCUCAAGGCCUUCCUUAAGACCUGAAGUACAAUUUUUGGAGACCCUGUCCUUCAUUGGGCAGGGUG
Molecule: small nuclear RNA, 82 nt
Filed under: Caenorhabditis remanei
Lineage: Eukaryota; Metazoa; Nematoda; Chromadorea; Rhabditida; Rhabditidae
Description: SmY spliceosomal RNA
Rfam family: SmY spliceosomal RNA
Source: Rfam by way of RNAcentral